This 467-nucleotide ribosomal RNA is filed under the name uncultured bacterium. RNAcentral's name for it is "partial 16S ribosomal RNA". It matches the Rfam family "Bacterial small subunit ribosomal RNA", at positions 28 to 506 of the family's 1533-position model. The record is from RNAcentral.
GACGAACGCUGGCGGCGUGCUUAACACAUGCCAGUCGAACGGAAAGGCCCUGCUUUUGUGGGGUGCUCGAGUGGCGAACGGGUGAGUAACACGUGAGUAACCUGCCCUUGACUUUGGGAUAACUUCAGGAAACUGGGGCUAAUACCGGAUAGGAGCUCCUGCUGCAUGGUGGGGGUUGGAAAGUUUCGGCGGUUGGGGAUGGACUCGCGGCUUAUCAGCUUGUUGGUGGGGUAGUGGCUUACCAAGGCUUUGACGGGUAGCCGGCCUGAGAGGGUGACCGGCCCAAUGGGGAUGGGGAAACGCCCAGACCCCCAAGGGGGGGAAGGGGGGGGGAAUUUUGCAAAAGGGGGGGAAGCUGGAGGCAGCAACCCCGGGGGGGGGAUGACGGCCUUGGGGUUGUAAACCCCUUUCGCCUGGGACGAAGCGGGAGUGCGGGAAAUGGGGAAAGAAGCACCGGCUAACUACGU